Molecule: transfer RNA, 76 nt
Filed under: Gordoniibacillus kamchatkensis
Lineage: Bacteria; Bacillati; Bacillota; Bacilli; Caryophanales; Paenibacillaceae
Description: Paenibacillus sp. VKM B-2647 tRNA-Thr
Rfam family: tRNA
About the family: Transfer RNA (tRNA) molecules are approximately 80 nucleotides in length. Their secondary structure includes four short double-helical elements and three loops (D, anti-codon, and T loops).
Source: RNAcentral
GCCGCUGUAGCUCAAUUGGUAGAGCAACUGACUUGUAAUCAGUAGGUUGGGGGUUCAAUUCCUCUCGGCGGCACCA